This 252-nucleotide ribosomal RNA is filed under the name uncultured bacterium. RNAcentral's name for it is "partial 16S ribosomal RNA". It matches the Rfam family "Bacterial small subunit ribosomal RNA", at positions 524 to 776 of the family's 1533-position model. The record is from RNAcentral.
UACGGAGGAUGCGAGCGUUAUCCGGAUUUAUUGGGUUUAAAGGGUGCGUAGGCGGACUGUCAAGUCAGCGGUAAAAUUGAGAGGCUCAACCUCUUCCCGCCGUUGAAACUGGUGGUCUUGAGUGCUGGAGUGGCAAUCGGAAUUCCGUGUGUAGCGGUGAAAUGCGUAGAUAUACGGAGGAACACCAGUGGCGAAGGCGGAUUGCUGGACAGUAACUGACGCUGAGGCGCGAAAGCGUGGGGAGCAAACAGG